CAAUUUUUAUUUUAAGCAAAAAAUAUAAUGUUUGGGACCUUAAGAUUUUAAAAAUUGA
This 58-nucleotide transfer RNA is filed under the name Halicephalobus gingivalis. Its description in RNAcentral is "tRNA-Pro". The record is from RNAcentral. Lineage: Eukaryota; Metazoa; Nematoda; Chromadorea; Rhabditida; Panagrolaimidae.